UCUGAAGGCAAAAGGGGGUCCAACCUUAUACUGGCAAGUAUGCGUAGGUCCGUCAUUGGACCCAUGGACGAGGUUUGUGCCCUGGGCGAGGACAGACGAGGCACCACCUGAAAGAGACUCUUGGGGCUCUUUCGUCACUGACCUGACCUAGAAGUACACUAUCAAGCAUUUGAUCCUGUUUUACACAUACCAAGAGGUCACCACUUUCACAGAGACAGC
Long non-coding RNA from Pygocentrus nattereri (red-bellied piranha), 219 nucleotides. RefSeq lists it as uncharacterized. The transcript is spliced from 3 exons. The record is from RefSeq and is a predicted model, not a curated record. Lineage: Eukaryota; Metazoa; Chordata; Actinopteri; Characiformes; Serrasalmidae.